This 253-nucleotide ribosomal RNA is filed under the name uncultured bacterium. Its description in RNAcentral is "partial 16S ribosomal RNA". It matches the Rfam family "Bacterial small subunit ribosomal RNA", at positions 524 to 776 of the family's 1533-position model. The record is from RNAcentral.
GACGUAGGGGGCCAGCGUUGUUCGGAAUUACUGGGUGUAAAGGGUUCGUAGGCGGUGUGGCAAGUCGGGAGUGAAAUCUCUGGGCUCAACCCAGAGUCUGCUUCCGAAACUGCUGUGCUUGAGUGUGGGAGAGGCGCGUGGAAUUGCAGGUGUAGCGGUGAAAUGCGUAGAUAUCUGCAGGAACACCCGUGGCGAAGGCGGCGCGCUGGACCACUACUGACGCUGAGGAACGAAAGCUAGGGGAGCAAACAGG